RNAcentral lists this transfer RNA (66 nucleotides) under Aristaeomorpha foliacea. Its description in RNAcentral is "tRNA-Ala". Lineage: Eukaryota; Metazoa; Arthropoda; Malacostraca; Decapoda; Aristeidae. The record is from RNAcentral.
GGAGUUAUAAUCAACCAUGAUAUUUGACUUGCACUCAGAAAGUGCUCCCCUGAGGAGCUAACUUCA